AACGAACGCUGGCGGCAUGCCUAACACAUGCAAGUCGAACGAGACCUUCGGGUCUAGUGGCGCACGGGUGCGUAACGCGUGGGAAUCUGCCCUUGGGUUCGGAAUAACAGUUGGAAACGACUGCUAAUACCGGAUGAUGACGUAAGUCCAAAGAUUUAUCGCCCAAGGAUGAGCCCGCGUAGGAUUAGCUAGUUGGUGAGGUAAAGGCUCACCAAGGCGACGAUCCUUAGCUGGUCUGAGAGGAUGAUCAGCCACACUGGGACUGAGGCACGGCCCAGACUCCUACGGGAGGCAGCAGUGGGGAAUAUUGGACAAUGGGCGAAAGCCUGAUCCAGCAAUGCCGCGUGAGUGAUGAAGGCCUUAGGGUUGUAAAGCUCUUUUACCCGGGAUGAUAAUGACAGUACCGGGAGAAUAAGCUCCGGCUAACUCCGUG
This 433-nucleotide ribosomal RNA is filed under the name uncultured bacterium. RNAcentral's name for it is "partial 16S ribosomal RNA". It matches the Rfam family "Bacterial small subunit ribosomal RNA", at positions 29 to 507 of the family's 1533-position model. The record is from RNAcentral.